UACGAAGGAUGCUAGCGUUACUCGGAAUUACUGGGCGUAAAGAAUGCGUAGGCGGGCAUUUAAGUUGAUAGUGCAAUCCCCAAGCUUAACUUAGGAAUUGCUAUCAAAACUGGAUGCCUAGAAUAUCAAAGGGAGUAAGGGAAUUCCUGGUGUAGGGGUAAAAUCCGUAGAUAUCAGGAGGAAGACCGGAAGCGAAAGCGCUUACUUGGUUGAUUAUUGACGCUGAGGCAUGAAAGCGUGGGGAUCGAACAGG
RNAcentral lists this ribosomal RNA (253 nucleotides) under uncultured bacterium. RNAcentral's name for it is "partial 16S ribosomal RNA". It matches the Rfam family "Bacterial small subunit ribosomal RNA", at positions 524 to 776 of the family's 1533-position model. The record is from RNAcentral.